Molecule: non-coding RNA, 63 nt
Filed under: Crocosphaera watsonii WH 8501
Lineage: Bacteria; Bacillati; Cyanobacteriota; Cyanophyceae; Chroococcales; Aphanothecaceae
Description: Cyano-1 RNA
Rfam family: Cyano-1 RNA
Source: Rfam by way of RNAcentral
GAGUGAGUUAGUAGAAAAACACUUGGGGUCGAAACACGGCAAGACUCCCGGGUGUUUUUCUCA